This 401-nucleotide ribosomal RNA is filed under the name uncultured bacterium. Its description in RNAcentral is "bacterial SSU rRNA". It matches the Rfam family "Bacterial small subunit ribosomal RNA", at positions 356 to 774 of the family's 1533-position model. The record is from RNAcentral.
GGGGAAUAUUGCACAAUGGGCGAAAGCCUGAUGCAGCAACGCCGCGUGGAGGAUGAAGGCCUUCGGGUUGUAAACUCCUGUCUUCAGGGACGAUUAUGACGGUACCUGAGGAGGAAGCCACGGCUAACUACGUGCCAGCAGCCGCGGUAAUACGUAGGUGGCAAGCGUUGUCCGGAUUUACUGGGCGUAAAGGAUGCGUAGGCGGAUGUUUAAGUGAGAUGUGAAAUACCCGGGCUUAACUUGGGUGCUGCAUUUCAAACUGGAUAUCUAGAGUGCAGGAGAGGAAAGUGGAAUUCCUAGUGUAGCGGUGAAAUGCGUAGAGAUUAGGAAGAACACCGGUGGCGAAGGCGGCUGUCUGGACUGUAACUGACGCUGAGGCGCGAAAGCGUGGGGAGCAAACA